This 425-nucleotide ribosomal RNA is filed under the name uncultured bacterium. RNAcentral's name for it is "partial 16S ribosomal RNA". It matches the Rfam family "Bacterial small subunit ribosomal RNA", at positions 354 to 796 of the family's 1533-position model. The record is from RNAcentral.
GUGGGGAAUCUUGCGCAAUGGGCGAAAGCCUGACGCAGCCAUGCCGCGUGGAUGAUGAAGGUCUUAGGAUUGUAAAAUCCUUUCACCGGUGAAGAUAAUGACUGUAGCCGGAGAAGAAGCCCCGGCUAACUUCGUGCCAGCAGCCGCGGUAAUACGAAGGGGGCUAGCGUUGCUCGGAUUUACUGGGCGUAAAGGGCGCGUAGGCGGACAUUUAAGUCAGGGGUGAAAUCCCGGGGCUCAACCUCGGAACUGCCUUUGAUACUGGGUGUCUUGAGUAUGAGAGAGGGGUGUGGAACGCCGAGUGUAGAGGUGAAAUUCGUAGAUAUUCGGAAGAACACCAGUGGCGAAGGCGACACACUGGCUCAUUACUGACGCUGAGGCGCGAAAGCGUGGGGAGCAAACAGGAUUAGAUACCCCAGUAGUCC